Artibeus jamaicensis (Jamaican fruit-eating bat) is the source of this 4777-nucleotide long non-coding RNA. RefSeq lists it as uncharacterized. Lineage: Eukaryota; Metazoa; Chordata; Mammalia; Chiroptera; Phyllostomidae. The record is from RefSeq and is a predicted model, not a curated record. The transcript has 3 exons.
CAGAGGGGUACGGUACGUGGAAGAGCCGGGAUUCGAACCCGGACAUCUGACCUACGUCCCUUCACUGCGGGCUCGUGACGCUACACUUGUCAGUCCACGAGUGCCAAACACGUGGCACACGGCGACACUCAAAACAGAGCAGCCGGCUGUGGAAGGCCACUGAACGGAGCAGCGUUUUGGUUUUCCCUCCGGAGGGAAAUGGGGACGGAGCAGCGCCCUGGACUGGGCCCGGCCAGUGACUACUCUUCGGCAGACACCCAGGUCUCAGCUGUGCACCAGUCCAGCUUUGGCGUCCCACGUCGACGAGUCAGUCCCCUGACCAGUGUGACGCAAAAUGACUGGGUGCUGUGGUGAUAGGUGACAGAUGCCGACUCUGACCACAGAGGAAAUUCACUGGAAGGAUGCGAGUCCCUUGCAAAAGAAAAGGGGAAAGUUGAGGAACUUCUGUCUGAAAAGGGCGGGAACCAGGGAGGCGUCGGGGACCCAGAAGCAGGAACCAGUUGACAGUCUCAUGCAGCCACAGGAGCGGCUUGUUUCAGCCCCGCCUCUCCUCUGCUUUUGCUUCCUCCAUGCAAGGGCCAGAGGCCCAGGAAAGGGACCUAUGUGGCCCCAGGGCGCCCCCACCCCGGGGAGGACAGACGGAGUUUCUGACUCCCAGAGUCAUCGGAACUUGGGAAGUGGAGGCAGGACAGAGAAAAGGCUCAUGGAUCUCCCCAGCUCUGUCGGGAGAAGGAGCUCUCUGCUGCCCGUUCCCUGGGAGACCCUCUCCACAGUUCCCUAGAGCCGCUUCCAUCAAGAUGGAGACUCAUAAACUCUGGGUCUCGGACACCGUCGGGAGGGCUUCAUGGCAGUUUCUGGGAGUUGCUGGACCCCCUUCUACAGGCCCCGCUCUAGGAGUCUCUGUCCCCUCUGUCCAGCAUCUGCCUGGCUCCGAAGCAGGUCCCAUAUACGGCAUCUCCGGGGACCUGCAGUUUAACCAUUUCACACCCCCUGCCACGUGGGUAACACAAGCAGGGCCCUAGAUCUCAUCUUAAUCUUGCCAUUUUGUUUUCUAAAAGGGUAAGACACUAUUUUCGUCACUGUUUUGCAGGGAGAAAGAGUCCUGUUUGUCCUCAUGAUUCAUUUUGGUGGGUUUUGGACGGCGUUGUACUGAUUCACGGCGACUCAGCCAGCAUCUGGUCUGAAUUAAACGGGACUUUCUCUCGGUGACAGUAAACUCUUCAACAAGGUGCACAUGAACACGAGGCCUGGUGGGAAGGCCGGGGCUUGAGCAAUCUGUGCGGCCUGAGUCAGUUCAGCCAGAUGCUGCGCCGUCCCAGAGCCCUUCGCGAAACCCGACAGGGGCUGCAGCCUGGCGCUGCAUGACACAGCGUCUGCUCCUCACAACCAGGCCCAUGACUCCUUCCUGGCGGGUCAAACCGCUCCCCACAACGCACCAUUUCAUCCUUUAGCCACGAGCCUGGUUAGACGCCCAGGGAACAGGGGCAGGAACCUGUCAUGGAUGUUGCACCAGGAGCUGGGUUUUCUCUGGUUCGUUCCAGGAAAUUUUCCACGGAAUCCCAGGGACCACCCAGUGGUUCUUAAUGGGGGCCAGUGAUUCGGCAUGUGGCAAUGCCCAGAGAUGUUUUUUGGCUGUUGCAGCUGGAAGGGUGCUAGGGGCAUCUGGUGUGUAGAAGCCCAGGAGGCUGCUAAACACCCCACUGUCCGCACAACAGGCCCCACAGUGAAGAAUCUUCUAGUCCAAGAUGGUGCCCAGGUUGAGAAACUGCUCUACUAUAAACCGAUCCCAAACUGCAAGUGACUUGAAGGUUUGAGGUCAUUCAUUGACUUCGUGAAAAGGAUGGUAGACAUGGUAGAAACAGAUCUUCUGGAAAUCCUGUCAUUUCUGUGCUUACAAGGGGAUCAUGUCUUGUCUAUGUCCUUACAAACCAUUCUCCACGGAGAGGACCCCAGGCUCCUGAGAAACAGCCCAUCUGGGCUGGGACUGAUGCGUGAGGAAGGUCUCGGAGACUGCGGGCCUGGAAUCACAGGAGUUAUAGGAGCUAACCGGAAGGGACUCUCUCUGGCCAAAUAUGGGCUGAUUUGAGCAUCAAAAAGAAACACGCUAAUAUGGUAAAAUCCCUAUCCGGAACUUGAAAGAGAAGCCUGUGGUUGAAAGAUGAAAAGCUAUUUCGGAACCAUGUGGCUUUGACAGGUGUCCUUUAUUUAACAACAAAAAGUUGGUUCCACUGCCUCUUAAACCUCAACACUCUCAUUUCCCUUUAGUGUUAUUGACUGUGAAGGAAAAGAAGUUUGUAACAUCUCCGCUGGACUCCUGGAAAAGGAGCGGGGCGGGGGGCGGGGGAGAGUCCCCGGCGAUGGCGGCGGUCACCGCACAACCAUGACCCCACCCGGCUGCAGCUCUCAUGCGGGGGAGAGAGGGGAAGGGAGAGUAACGUGUCAGCAGGACACUGCAGACCAGACAGACAUGUCUGUGGAACAGUGUUUCAGUCGGAAUCUUCCUUUCGUAACCGAAAACCCAACCCAGAAAGAAGAGUGUGGAAAUGAGUUUCUAGGCCCAAGGCACCACGUCAACGGCCCAAACUUUCCUUUUCCGGUAAACGCUCCGCUUGGCAGAAACGCACUGUAUCUCGUCAGCCCACCCCCGCAGCGCGAAGCCAUCUCCCGGCUCUAGGCUCGUUUCCUUGUUCCUUAAUCUUUGUCCAGAAGGUCACACUCGCAGUCCGGCCACUCACUCAGAUUCGACGUUACUGCUGCCUCCGCUCUGACUCCCUCGGGCCCCAGGUCCCUGGGGAAGAGCGCCCCCUGCCUGCCAGUCCGUGGAGGGAAGGACAUCAAGCCUGUUACCAAAUCGCUGUAGUUUGUCACUUGGUGUGAGUUCAAAUAAUAAAAGGACGUUACUGCAUCACAUACUCACGAAGCCCAGACAGACCUACUCACAGCACGGUCACGGUCACGGGCUGGCACACGCCCAGCGGCUCGCUCCUCACUGCUCCGCAAUGAGCUGCAGCGACUACCUUGUGGAAACAGCCAUGGGCCUGACCACCUUUCUUCAAACUUGCUUCCCGCCAUUGUUGACAAAGACUAAUGGCGACCCCUGGUUGAAGGGGCAACAGAAGUACCACUCCUUAUACGGAAAACCACUAGAAGCCACAUGGUUCACUUUUCCUGCAUAUGACAAGAGUAUUGGGCAAUAAGAUAACAGAAACAUAAAACUGGAAACAAAAAACCAAAACUGCCUUUAUCACAGUCUGAGAAACACCAGGCUGGCCUGGGGAUUCCCAAUCCCGGCUGCCCAUUGCAGCACCAGCUGAGCGGUAGCAACUGCUGUGCAGUAACAUCAUUCCCAGAGACACCGACUAAAGUGGCCUAGGGAGGGCCCCAGGCGCGGGGAGUUUGAGAAACUCUCCAGGUAGUUGGAAUGAGCUGAAAGUUGGUGGCCUGGGUUCAGACUGGCCUCGGGGGAGACUCGGUCCUGUGGUCGGGAAUCUGCUCAAGGAGCUGAGUCUGCAGAGCGCUGAAUGCUCACAUUAGGAAAGAAGAACAGUCUGACAUCAGUGACCUCGGCCUCUGCCUUAAAAACUAGAAAAAGAUGAGUAAAUCAAGUCCAAAGGAAACAAGCAAAAGGAAAUAAGAUCGAAGAGGAAUGGAAUGAAAUAGAAAACAGAACCAUAGAGAAAAAUCAACAAAACUGAUAGCUGCUUCUUUGAGAAAAAUCAGUGAAAUUAGUAAGAGCCAGGCUGGUUAGGAAAAUAAUGAAGAAAGUAGAAAUGACCAAUACAAAGAAUGAGAGAAGGGUCAGGGCACAGGCCGGGUUACGAGCCAGGUCCCUGCUGAGGGCGUGAGAGGCAGCCACACACUGGUGUUUCUCUCCUUCUCUCCCUCCCUUCCCCUCUCUCUAGAAAUACAUAAAUUAAAUCUGUAAGAAAAAAAGAAUGAAAGAGGGUACAUCAUUAUAGAUUCCACAGAUGUUAAAAGGAUAACAAGGAAAUAUUAUAAGCAAGUUUAUGCAAAUAAAUUUGAUAACUUAGAUGAAAUUCACAAUUCCUUGAAAGGCUCAAACUAUUACAUGUUGGGAACCGCUCUGCCUGGUUUCAGGAGUUGUAACUACCCCCCAUGGAUAAGGCUGAGUGAGCGACCUCUGGAACACGAGCCACUGAGGAAACAAAGCUUGUCUCUGGCAGCAAAUGCUGCUUCUGCUUACUCCCCUGCCCCCAAUGCAUAGUUGGAUAGUCAGAGAUGGGUACGACCCCUCGGAGGAGGGGCAACCUAAGGCAGACAUAAUCACUUGGGAGGUCAUCAUGGAAGGACUCGGGGGGGCUGCAACAAAGAGGGAGUAAUGGACCCUCGCGCUCCCCUCCUGCUUUGACAAAGCCUGAGUCACCAUGCCCUCUGGGAGAAGCGCUUCCUGGCUCAAAUCCACUUAAGCCUGAAAACCUAUGAUGGGGGAGGCGGUGCAGCCCCUCACCGCCUAGAGCGGAAUCCUGGGUGAUUGGGCAUAAGAAAGAAUUCCUAAAAGUCCUGUGAAGCCUGCUUUGCUAAGAGUGUUUUCAUUCAUAUGAUAAGGAUUCCAAGCAGGAAAUGAGUAUGUCUCCCAAAGUUUCUGCAACCCCCCCUUUCCUGACAGACACUGACUCAGACUAAGCCCUCAGAUUUCUUUGAAAUGUUAUCUACUGUUUGAUCAUUGCCGCCCUAUAUUCCUGUGUAUUACAACCCAAUAAAAGCCAUUGAGGAAGGGGCUCCAGGUCCUUCUCCUCUGAGAGAUUGGCCACCUCUC